Molecule: ribosomal RNA, 373 nt
Filed under: uncultured organism
Description: partial 16S ribosomal RNA
Rfam family: Bacterial small subunit ribosomal RNA
Source: RNAcentral
GAAGGUGGCGAGCGUUGUUCGGUGUUACUGGGCUUAAAGCGUGUGUAGGCGGAAAAGUAAGCGUUUUGUGAAAUACCCGGGCUUAACCCGGGAAUUGCUUGGCGAACUACUUUUCUUGAGGCAAGUAGGGGUGCAUGGAACUCUUGGUGGAGCGGUGGAAUGCGUAGAUAUCAAGAGGAACGCCGAUGGAGAGAUCAGUGCACUGGGCUUGUCCUGACGCUGAGACACGAAAGCGUGGGGAGCGAACGGGGAUUAGAUACCCCGGUAGUCCACGCUGUAAACGAUGUCUACUAGGUUGCGGAGGUUCUGACACUUUCGCGACCCGAAGCAAAAGUGUUAAGUAGACCGCCUGGGGAGUACGGUCGCAAGGCUA